UACGAAGGUGGCGAAUGUUACUCGGAUUCACUGGGCGUAAAGCGUCCGCAGGUGGUUUAUUAAGUCAGAGGUGAAAGCCCCGUGCUCAACAUGGGAACUGCCUUUGAAACUAGUAGACUAGAAGGUGAGAGAGGUUGGUAGAAUACCCGGUGUAGAGGUGAAAUUCGUAGAUAUCGGGUGGAAUAUCCAUGGCGAAGGCAGCUAACUGGCUCAUACUUGACACUCAGGGACGACAGCGUGGGGAUCAAACAGG
Molecule: ribosomal RNA, 253 nt
Filed under: uncultured bacterium
Lineage: Bacteria
Description: partial 16S ribosomal RNA
Rfam family: Bacterial small subunit ribosomal RNA
Source: RNAcentral